GCUGGUUUUCUACGAAACAUAUUUAAGUAUGACAUCUAUACAAAAUUUAUGGUGGUACAGCACUGAAUUCCCAACAAAGAUUAUGACAGUGAAUAAACAAAAUAUUUUUAUAUAAGUUUAUUAACUUCUAAUACUAAAGUUUAGGUUGAGGGGACCUCGAAAAUCUUACCAAUGGAAGAGAAACUCGAAAUGACAUAAAUUGAUGAUAGAUAUUCAGACUGCUCAUGAGAAAGUUGAGUAGUCAAGACGGAAACAGCCGAGAACACGAAUACAAGGUCCCAAAUGAUUAUUAAGUGAAAUUAAGGAAAUGACAUAUUGAAUGCAGCUGUAAAGUGAGCUUAGCACAAAAUACUUCUGAGCUUAAAAACUAAGUUAUAUGCAAGAAAACCCUAAAGAUGUUUUGCUGUAUCCCUUUAAAGGUAUAAACAGAAAAAGUAAACAUAUCUGUCAAAAUCUUUUGAUAAAAUGGGUAACUUGCAAGAAAAUUAAUAUUUAUUAAUUUCUUCAACGACUAUACGCUUAGAACUCUUAUUCCUAUUUGAAGAGAUAAGAGUUAUGACAUAGUCUACCAAGUAUGAAAGUACUUGAUUUUUAUAAGUUUGUAGAGAAAGUAAUUACAUUCUUGUAAAUUAUUUUUGUUUUUUAUACUUUCGUAAUAUUAAUUAGUAACUAGAAGGUCGUUGGUUCUACCUUUCACCUAGAAGGCUAGCCCCUGGGUUAAAAUAGUAAACAUUAUUUAUUACUACAAAAAAAAAGUUUAUUUUUAAUAUUUUAAUAGCUACAAAAACAAUAAAUUUAAUGAACCAAAAUUUUAAUUUUUCUCCAGGUUAUAUUAGUGGAUUAGCUCAGACAGACGGGUCUUUCUUUUGUUCAGUAACCAUCUCUACAAAACAUAGAUUUGGACUUCAAUUUAGACCUAAAUUUACUCUAACUGCUGAUUUAGAUUCAAAGUAUGUAUUAGACAAUAUAGCACAAUAAAUAUUUUGGGUGCGAAAAGGUCUCUACAAAUCUUAAAACUCAUAGUGCUGAAUACUUAGUAGAAAGAAUUGAAGAGCUUCAAAAUAUAAUAAUACCUCAUUUCUUAAAUUAUCCAGUGUUUUGUGCAAAAUUACACGCUUUUAAGCUCUUUAGUCAAAUAGUCUCUGUUUUAAGUACUAAGGAAAAAAGAACAAUAGAAGGAAGAAUUGAACUAUUAAAAAUGGCACUAUCUAUGAAUAUUACUACUAAUAGGUCUAAAGAUCGAAUAGAUUUAUUAUUCUCUUUAUUAGGAUCCGAAGAUAUAGAAUUUAUAGAGAAUACUAUAACUAAUAUUACUUCACCUAUUACAGAUAAUAAUAUUGCUGGUAUUAUAGAUGGUGAUGGUUCAUUUUUUAUCUCCUUUAAUGGUGUAAUCAAAACAGGAUUAAGUAUAACUGGUGAUAAAGAUUCAAGACCUUUAUUAGAAGGUAUACAAGAAGAUUUGAAGGAAUAGGUAGUAUUAAAAUAGGGUCCAAAAAAGAAUUAGUAUAUACAAUUACAGGUUUAAAUCAAAUAAUAGAUAUAUUAAUACCAUUUAUGGAUAAUAAUCCUUUAUUUUCUGAACGGUCAUCACACUAUGAAAAAUUUAAAUAGUUAAUUUUAUCUUAAAAAUGAACAACCUUUAACAAUAGAUAGUAAAUUAAAAUAGUUGAAUUGACUUAUGAUAUGAAUAAAAAGGAAAACGUCGAAGUUUGAGUAAAACAGAGUAUAUUAACCUAUUGAAAAAAGACAAAUAGUUUUACCUAAUCUAUGGUAUUAUCCCCCUUUAUUUUUUAUGGAGAUAAGGUUAGGUAGCUUAUAAAUAUUAAUUACCAGACAAAAAGAUAGAAAAUGGGAAGUAGCUAUCUUUUAAUGACCGUAAUGUAACAACGUAGCAGCCCUUAGAAUGUUGUGCCUAAAAUUUAACGGGUCUAAAUAAUCAACCGAUAUCGUGUUUAUUUUGAAUACAUAAAAAAUAUUUUUAUUCAGAAUAUAGGUAGUAGAACAUUCAGUAAAACUUAAAAUAAAACAGUGUUUCAUUGUUUUUAGGUAACUGAAGAGAUAAUGCUGACAUGAGUAACGUAAAAAGAAGUUAUAAUACUUCUCGCCGAAUACGAAAGGGUUAUAAGGAAAGGUUAUACCGCCUUAUGUUAUUGCGGCCUCUAAGGACCAAAACCAAAGUUUUGGCUGAUGAGUAGAUAACUGAAAGUCCAUAUGUAAAUUAAUGGACCAGGAAAAUUAAGUUUUUAUAAUUUAAUUUAUUUUUAUAAUUUUUUAUAAAUAAAAUUAAUUUAGUCUACCGUACCCUAAACCGACACAGGUUCGUAGGUAGAGAAUACUAAGGCGUAGAGCUAAAAGUUGUUAAGGAACUCGGCAAAUUAUCCUC
Molecule: ribosomal RNA, 2383 nt
Filed under: Taiwanofungus salmoneus
Lineage: Eukaryota; Fungi; Basidiomycota; Agaricomycetes; Polyporales; Taiwanofungaceae
Description: partial large subunit ribosomal RNA
Rfam family: Bacterial large subunit ribosomal RNA (bases 2070-2383)
Source: RNAcentral